UCGCCGUUAAAUCCCCCACAAUUACUCACAGGAGUCCAUCCCUGGCUUCCUCAUACUUUCAUUUGAAUGGGAUUUGGAUUCUGCCUGUCAUUGUGAAGUAGACUGGAAAAGAGUACUGUCAACACAGAUGAAGACUCAGUGUGAAUAAAAUUAAAAUAAUUAAGUUCUGUUCAACAUCAGUUUGGCCCUGCUUGAGUUGCCAGGACUCCGUACACAAUUUGGGAUGGGGGUUGGGUUUUUUUUUCGUUGACUGUGGUUUCCUUGGUUGGAAUGCUAUGUCUAAGACCACCAUCCAGGAGAAUGAAGGUCUUCCACCCAAGGGCAACAUCUGUUAUCUACACAUUUGGAUAUUGUGUCCAAAACAGGAGAUAUCAGCUUUGGAGGAACGCGAUUUCAGAGUAUGAAGCAGUUCCAAAGACCACUUGGACUUGAUCUCCAAAUGCCUGAGAUAGAUACAAGCCUUGAAAGUGACCCUCGACACCCUGGGAUCUUCUGUGUAAAAGGCUGAAGCACCCAGGGGGUGUAUCCUUGACUGUGCUGCUGAGUCAAUUAAUUACAGUGCUCGAAAUAAAAUG
RNAcentral lists this long non-coding RNA (575 nucleotides) under Gallus gallus (chicken). RNAcentral describes it as "long non-coding RNA NONGGAT008761". The record is from RNAcentral. Lineage: Eukaryota; Metazoa; Chordata; Aves; Galliformes; Phasianidae.